Molecule: small nuclear RNA, 103 nt
Organism: Cotesia glomerata
Lineage: Eukaryota; Metazoa; Arthropoda; Insecta; Hymenoptera; Braconidae
Source: RefSeq, a predicted model, not a curated record
ACUUUACAGCAUUGUUUAUAUUUGUAAAAAAAAGAUACAGAAAAGAUUAGCAUGGCCCCUGCGCAAGGAUGACACGCAAAAUCGUGAAGCGUUCCACAUUUUU